UUAAAAUUUUACGCACUGAGCUAUAGGUUGAUCAGAUCUGUUGUAUGAGUCAGAACCUGAAUAAGAACAAUUAUCAACUUUUUAAUGUGCAGGUUUAUGACUGCAUUACAGAUCUUGGUGGCUGCCUGUACAUGCCAUUUCAGUAGUUGGAUUAUGCAUUACCUGUAAUUUGUCAAGUGAUUAGUUAUUACCAAUAGGAUCUGGACCUUAUUUGGUUUGGUCAAUUUAGUCAUUGAACAUCCAUUUUUCUAAAUUUAUUGGUAUUUUUAAUAUGCCAUUUGUGUCAGCACACUAAUGUCAAAUCUUGUAAUUGUUUGUCUACCAGGAAAUCAUAUUAUUAAGGUGUCUCUGUUACCAAUGGAUAAUGAGUAAAAACUUCAUUUGUGAAUAUUAUAUGCCAAAACGUCUUCCUUUGUGCUGCUCCUGUGUCUAAGAAAUUCACAGGGAAGAGGCCUUACGAUAGAGGGUUUUACUUCUCUUUUCUGCUUUUUUUUCAUUCACCAUACACAAAUCUUGGUCUUCAAUUUAUUUUAUGUCCCAUGAGUGACCUGACAUUAAUGUGAUGCUAUGUAAGCCUAGCGUGUAGAGUGAGUCAAGUAUGUAGUAGAUGCACUAAUUUGGCUCAUUGCCUUGCUUCACUGCUGUGUAGAUGCAAAACUUUGUUCUCUUGUGCUGAAUGUUUGCCACUGUUUUCCAUUUUUGCUCAUUCUGAUCUAACCAAAUGGACCCCAUGGAUUUGAGGUUGUCAUGCAUGUCAUGUUUGGAUAUGCCCUUAUUUGUAUCAAAAUAUAUGGAUGGUUGCUCUUAUCAUUUCCAUCUAUAUAUUUCACUUGACUAGCCAUUAGCGCUGUGGGUUGCUACCGAGUGAACUGUUUUUUUUUUAAUUUGCAUUGUUUGUCAUUCUCCUGCUUAUUAUUGUUCGUUUCAGUUUGUAGGGCUUGUACACUCCACCGUCUAAAAUAAAUCUAGCCAAAAGGUGGUUGAGAGACAUUUUGUGGUGCCACUAUUUUCUUCCAGGUUUAGGCGCUUUGACUCUACUAACUUUAGCUAGGUGCUACAUGUGCUUUCUGUAAUGGCAAGGAUAAAUUACUACCCUAUUUCGGUACAAUGCAGAUCAAAGAUUCAUGUCCUAAAAUGAUUUGCUCGGCUUCAUGCAAUUGAACUGUUAUCGCAUAUUUACGAGCCCCUGGCAAGCCGGCAUUUAGGUCUCCGACUAAAGCUCCUCCUCACCACCACGGGUGCACGUCGGCGUGGCCACCCUCCCCUCCCAACUGUAGGGGCAAAUGACCCGUGGGCUCAGGUUGUCUAGCGAUUGGCUGGGUCAGGCGUUCUUGGGUGUCCGCGCGGCCUCUCCUGGGUCAGAUGUGAGAGGAAACUGAGAGGGAAGAUCGGACGACCAGGAAACGUCUAUCUCGGGGGAUCGCUGGGAGGCCGAGAUGCCCAGAUCAAAGUGGAAAUAUCCUACCUGAACCGUUGUUGAUACAAAGAUGUGCCACGUGAUUGUUAUAUUGAGAGCAAUGUAUGACUGCAUAUAUUCUCUUUGGACUUUUUGAACCAAGUCGCAAACAUCUUAGAAAAGGACAGUGUGUGUGAGUUUUUCUAUAUCCAGUUUGAAUUCAGAAGCAUUAUGAAUUCAUUGUGUGCUUCCCUCCUCUUCCAAACUUAGUUUGGUUCUAGCAAUAGUUGGUUACUUCUUUUACCUAUUUGCCGCUUAUGUCUCCUACUCUUCAUGGGAAGAUAAGAGUUGUAUCUAGAACUGCAGUGUUUGAUUUAAGGAUCUGCUAGGCAUGUCAUGGCAAGUAAUUUUACCUGCCAAUUGCCAUGCUCCAGCAUAAAUUAUGUCCUGUUGUAGCACCUGACAUUCAGAAACUCGGUGGCCAGGUAUCAUCCUUUAGAGAAAAUAAUACCUUCCAUUCAGAUUAUUAAUGCGUAAUAUUUUGCUUGAGAA
Molecule: long non-coding RNA, 1948 nt
Organism: Aegilops tauschii subsp. strangulata
Lineage: Eukaryota; Viridiplantae; Streptophyta; Magnoliopsida; Poales; Poaceae
Source: RefSeq, a predicted model, not a curated record